Molecule: ribosomal RNA, 481 nt
Filed under: uncultured bacterium
Lineage: Bacteria
Description: bacterial SSU rRNA
Rfam family: Bacterial small subunit ribosomal RNA
Source: RNAcentral
GAUGAACGCUAGCGGGAGGCCUAAUACAUGCAAGUCGAACGGGUGAAUUAGCUUCGGUUGGUUCACUAGUGGCGCACGGGUGAGUAACGCGUAUGCAAUCUGCCCUAUGCUGGGGAAUAGCCCUGGGAAACUGGGAGUAAUACGCCAUAGUUCUACGGAUCUGCAUGGAUUUGUAGAUAAAGCUGCGGCGGCAUAGGAUGAGCGUGCGUCUGAUUAGGUAGUUGGUGAGGUAACGGCUCACCAAGCCGACGAUCAGUAAGGGGCGUGAGAGCGUGGCCCCUCACACGGGUACUGAGACACGGACCCGACUCCUACGGGAGGCAGCAGUAAGGAAUAUUGGACAAUGGGCGCAAGCCUGAUCCAGCAAUGCCGCGUGAGUGAUGAAGGCCUUAGGGUCGUAAAGCUCUUUUACCCGGGAUGAUAAUGACAGUACCGGGAGAAUAAGCUCCGGCUAACUCCGUGCCAGCAGCCGCGGUAAUGU